GGAAACUUCGCGGCCGGGGCGCGGGGAGAGCCGGCUGGCUCCGUCGGCAGCACGGUUCCCAGACUGAGGACGGGGGCUCCAGGUGGGAUCCAUAUGUGAUGACAAGAGCUGUAGCGGCCACCUUAGAGUCAAGGAUGAAGGUCAUAUCUGGAGGAUGAUAGCAUCAUCUGAUCUUUGAUCUGUUACAAGAUCUCACAUUGGAGCAUAUUUGCUUGCCUCCUUAUUUUCCAUAUGUAUUACUCCAUGGUAUGUGAAGUGAGAGACUGUCUCAUUCCAAUAACUAAG
This 285-nucleotide long non-coding RNA is filed under the name Lynx canadensis (Canada lynx). Its description in RNAcentral is "lncRNA (ENSLCNG00005010162.1)". Lineage: Eukaryota; Metazoa; Chordata; Mammalia; Carnivora; Felidae. The record is from RNAcentral.